AUGAACGCUAGCGACAGGCUUAACACAUGCAAGUCGAGGGGCAGCGAGGGCGUAGCAAUACGCCUGUCGGCGACCGGCGCACUGGUGAGUAACACGUAUGCGACCUGCCCCCUACAGGGGUAUAACCCGUAGAAAUGCGGACUAAUCCCCCAUAGUCCUGGGUGCUGCAUGGCAUUCAGGGGAAAGGUCAGCCGGUCGGGGAUGGGCAUGCGGCGCAUUAGGUAGUUGGCGGGGCGACGGCCCACCAAGCCGACGAUGCGUAGGGGUUCUGAGAGGAAGGUCCCCACACUGGUACUGAGACACGGACCAGACUCCUACGGGAGGCAGCAGUGGGGAAUCUUCCGCAAUGGGCGAAAGCCUGACGGAGCAACGCCGCGUGAGUGAUGACGGCCUUCGGGUUGUAAAGCUCUGUGAUCGGGGACGAACGGUCAGCAGACGAAUACUCUGCUGAAGUGACGGUACCCGAAUAGCAAGCCACGGCUAACUACGUG
Molecule: ribosomal RNA, 491 nt
Filed under: uncultured bacterium
Lineage: Bacteria
Description: bacterial SSU rRNA
Rfam family: Bacterial small subunit ribosomal RNA
Source: RNAcentral